Molecule: transfer RNA, 107 nt
Filed under: Microcaldota archaeon
Lineage: Archaea; Nanobdellati; Microcaldota
Description: Candidatus Micrarchaeota archaeon (hot springs metagenome) tRNA-Leu
Rfam family: tRNA
About the family: Transfer RNA (tRNA) molecules are approximately 80 nucleotides in length. Their secondary structure includes four short double-helical elements and three loops (D, anti-codon, and T loops).
Source: RNAcentral
GCAGGGGUGGCAGAGUCUGGUCAAAUGCGCAGGGCUUAGGACCCUGUACCGUAGAGGUUGCCUGGGUUCAAAACUUUUUUAAGAGGGUGAGAAUCCCAGCCCCUGCA